RNAcentral lists this transfer RNA (77 nucleotides) under Gammaproteobacteria bacterium. RNAcentral describes it as "tRNA-Pro". It matches the Rfam family "tRNA". From Rfam's summary of the family: Transfer RNA (tRNA) molecules are approximately 80 nucleotides in length. Their secondary structure includes four short double-helical elements and three loops (D, anti-codon, and T loops). The record is from RNAcentral. Lineage: Bacteria; Pseudomonadati; Pseudomonadota; Gammaproteobacteria. RNAcentral also lists the same sequence under 2 other names.
CGGCGUGUAGCGCAGCCUGGUAGCGCAUUCGCUUCGGGGGUGAAAGGUCGGAGGUUCGAAUCCUCUCACGCCGACCA